GGGGGUGAAAGGGUUCGACUUAAGAUAUGUCGCUUAAGAGCAGCAUGCCGCGGAUGUAAGGUUAGCCGCGUUAACAAUCCUUGCACAAUUCAAACGCAAACACAAAAACACCAGUGUUCACAAACCGAUUGGCAGCGUUACCGGGUUUUCAGCCGGUAGCAUUUCCAGCUGGUUGCGUACCAGUCUUAGCGUUUAAUUAAACGCUAAGCCUCUAGCUGUCCUGCCUACGGGAUAGAUUAGAGCUCAAGUAGGAUAGUCCCGGCGGUUAGCCUUCCAAACCGGGGCAAAAUCGAAAAGGCUGCAUCUUGCAAAUCCUGCCGGGUAGGAGUUGCAAGGUUAAGAAUAAAUUACCAGGCUAAGCAUGUAGCGGUUUUUAGGUGAUUACUUAAGGACGGCGGUCCGAUUCCGCCCACCUCCACCA
RNAcentral lists this transfer-messenger RNA (421 nucleotides) under Candidatus Omnitrophota bacterium. It matches the Rfam family "transfer-messenger RNA". From Rfam's summary of the family: Bacterial tmRNA, also known as 10Sa RNA or SsrA, is named for its dual tRNA and mRNA-like properties. Its role is to liberate the mRNA from a stalled ribosome. The record is from RNAcentral. Lineage: Bacteria; Pseudomonadati; Candidatus Omnitrophota.